GAGGUUGUGGCUCAGUGGUAGAGUGUUUUCCUGGCAUGUGUGAGGCACUGAGUUCGAUUCUCAGCACCACA
Molecule: transfer RNA, 71 nt
Filed under: Marmota monax (woodchuck)
Lineage: Eukaryota; Metazoa; Chordata; Mammalia; Rodentia; Sciuridae
Description: tRNA.Ala
Rfam family: tRNA
About the family: Transfer RNA (tRNA) molecules are approximately 80 nucleotides in length. Their secondary structure includes four short double-helical elements and three loops (D, anti-codon, and T loops).
Source: RNAcentral